This 354-nucleotide long non-coding RNA is filed under the name Androctonus crassicauda. Lineage: Eukaryota; Metazoa; Arthropoda; Arachnida; Scorpiones; Buthidae. The record is from RNAcentral.
AACUGGGCCUGCUCUAGCGAUAGACAGACUAGGUUCACGCCUAGGGCGCCAAAAGUUGAAGACUAUUUGAUAAUGUACUAUACUACUGAUAAGGCUACAUAUUUUAAUUUGUUUUUCUGCCUUUGGGAGCGCCAAAUUUGGAAUCUGCCUAGAGCGCCAAAAACUUUUUUGGCCGGCGCUAGUUAUAAAUACAUAUUUCCAUGUAUCCAGAAACUUUCUGGUGUAGCUGUUUUAAAGACAAAAUAUCGAUCUGGUUUAGUGAUUGAAAAAGAAUGGCAAGUAGUCAUGACACCCCGAUUUGAGAGAAUUUAUGCUGAAGAACAAGCCCACCUGUUGCUUUAAAUAUUAUGUUGC